Molecule: ribosomal RNA, 406 nt
Filed under: uncultured bacterium
Lineage: Bacteria
Description: partial 16S ribosomal RNA
Rfam family: Bacterial small subunit ribosomal RNA
Source: RNAcentral
AUUGAACGCUGGCGGCAGGCCUCACACAUGCAAGUCGAGCGAGCGGCGGACGGGUGAGUAAUGUCUGGGAAACUGCCUGAUGGAGGGGGAUAACUACUGGAAACGGUAGAUAAUACCGCAUACCAUCAGAUGUGCCAAGAUGGGAUUAGCUGGUAGGUGGGGUAACGGCUCACCUAGGCGACGAUCCCUAGCUGGUAUGAGAGGAUGACCAGCCACACUGGAAAUGAGACACGGGCCAGACUCCUACGUGAGUCAGCAGGGGGGAAUAUUGCACCAUGGGCGCAAGCCUGAUGCAGCCAUGCCGCGUGUGUGAUGAAGGCCUUCGGGUUGUAAAGCACUUUCAGCGGGGAGGCGUUACCCGCAGAAGAAGCACCGGCUAACUCCGUGCCAGCAGCCGCGGUAAUAC